UGACUCGUCUCGCGUGUGUCUGGCUUUUGCAGGAAAUAGUGAUGCCUCAGAUGUGGGCAUUCUAGGAAAUAUCCAACAAGCAACGUUGGAGGUGGUGUACGAUGUUGCCGGAGGGAAGCUAGGAUUUGGCCCUGGUGGAUGUUAAGGGGCAUAUGCAUAUACAUCUACAGAAAGCAUAUGGUGUGUGACAAUAAUUUGGACUUUCAGCGAAAGAAAUUUGCUGAUAAAAUUUAUAGGGAUUGCCUAAGCUUGUGCAAUGGUUGUCAGCAGGAAAAUUGCACUUUUCCUAAAAAUUAAUCAAAUUUUAGAUUAACGACUCAUUAUUGGAUACAUGCUAUGAUCUUAGCAAAUAUACCACAAUAACCAUUCCGAAGAUUGGUUUUACUUUCGAUGGCAAUGUGAAAGUGGAUAUAGUGGCUUCGGGAAUACUUUAUACUAUUGACUCGUCUCGCGUGUGUCUGGCUUUUGCAGGAAAUAGUGAUGCCUCAGAUGUGGGCAUUCUAGGAAAUAUCCAACAGGCAACGUUUGAGGUGGUGUACGAUGUUGCCGGAGGGAAGCUAGGAUUUGGCCCUGGUGAAUGUUAAGGGGCAUAUGCAUAUACAUCUACAGAAAGCAUAUGGUGUGUGACAAUAAUUUGGACUUUCAGCGAAAGAAAUUUGCUGAUAAAAUUUAUAGGGAUUACCUAAGCUUGUGCAAUGGUUGUCAGCAGGAAAAUUGCACUUUUCCUAAAAAUUAAUCAAAUUUUAGAUUUGAUCUUCGCCAUUUGAGAUACCUGCAUAAUUAUUUUUUCUUCUAGUCGCAAUAGAGGGGGAAAAAUUGAAUGGUUAUUCAAUACUGUAUCUUGACUCGUAUGAACAAAUUGAACAAAUUGCAUGGCCAUUCAAUAUUGCAUAGCAAGCAUGUCUAAGUGUCAAUGACGCUAGGUCGGUCGAACAAUUUUGCANNN
Molecule: long non-coding RNA, 946 nt
Filed under: Olea europaea (common olive)
Lineage: Eukaryota; Viridiplantae; Streptophyta; Magnoliopsida; Lamiales; Oleaceae
Description: long non-coding RNA (OEUR_LNC011653)
Source: RNAcentral